GCACAUGCGCUGUAGUUACUCGGAGGCCACUAUCUAUUUCCUGCCGAGGCAGUGGGACGGCCUUUUCUUUUUGGCUGUAGACCUGCGAGGGGUCAUUGAAUGAUUUUAUACUCAUCAACCAGGAAUCUGAACCUAUUUGUCGAUGUGUGUCCUGCUUUAACACCUGUAAGAGUUGCAGCUCAUAUUUAGGUUACGGUGGAACUGUCUGUGCUUCCGGUUAUACUAUGCAAAUAAUCAUUUACACAUCAUGGUCUUUGAGCAAUUUUAUAUUCAUUAGUCAGGAACCUGAACCUGUCCUGCUUUAACAUCUCUACACACUCUAGCUGUUAUGUGGACUACAAUGGAAUUGUCUGCACUUCAGGGCUGUACUUGGCAAAUCGUCAUCUUUAUCAUGCAAGGUCUUUGAACAAUUUUUAUAUUCAUCAAUCAGGAACCCAAACCAGUCCUGCUUUAACAUCUGUAUAAGCUGUAACUGGUAGUUGGGCUACAGUGGAAUUGUCUGCACUUCAAGCCUAUACUGUGCAAAUCAUCUUUAUCAUGUAAGGUCUUUGAACGAUUUUAUAUUCAUCAAUCAGGAACCCACACCAGUCCUGCUUUAACAUCUCUACAAGCCGUAGGUGGUUCAUUGAACCAAUUUGUUCACCAGCCAGGAAGAUAAACAUUUUUUCAAUGAAGUGACCCAUCCCACUUUAAUACCUGUAUGAGGUGCAGUUGAUAUUUGGGCAACAGUGCAAAUCGUCCUUUUUAUGAUGCAAGAACUUGAACCUCUCUGCAUUGAAAUCUGCCCUGUCCUGCUUUUAUCACCUCCAUGAGCAACAGCUGGUAUUUGGGACACAGUGGAGUUAUCUGUGCUUCAGUCUGUACAAUGCAAAUCAUCAUCUAUAUAAUGCAAGGUCGUUGAAUGGUUUUUAUGUUCGUCAACCAGGAAGCUGAACCACUUUACAUUGAAGUCUAUCCUGUCCUGCUUUAACAUCUCCACCAACUGCAGCUGAUGUUUGAGCUACAUUGCAAUUUUUGGCUUCAGGAUGUACUGUAUAAAUUGCCAUAGUUUUAAUACCAGUAAAUUUGUUAAUAAAUGAAUUGUCAUUGUUCAGUGUAAAUUCUGACUAAUCCUACUAAACCAUAGGUUACCUCAAAUUGUAAUUUUUCUUCUCUGUUGUGCUAGAUUUAUGAUAUUGAAGUACUUUGAAUUGAAACAAGUGAAUUAAAAUUUUGUUUCCUCAAA
Erpetoichthys calabaricus (reedfish) is the source of this 1225-nucleotide long non-coding RNA. RefSeq lists it as uncharacterized. The transcript is spliced from 8 exons. The record is from RefSeq and is a predicted model, not a curated record. NCBI's taxonomy places the organism in Eukaryota, Metazoa, Chordata, Cladistia, Polypteriformes, Polypteridae.